Hipposideros armiger (great roundleaf bat) is the source of this 466-nucleotide long non-coding RNA. RefSeq lists it as uncharacterized. The transcript has 4 exons. Lineage: Eukaryota; Metazoa; Chordata; Mammalia; Chiroptera; Hipposideridae. The record is from RefSeq and is a predicted model, not a curated record.
CAUUGGGGAUGAGGCUGUGAUUGGCAGAGAGCUGAGGACCCUGAGGGCCGAUGAGGGCUGAUGCUCGACAGCAGUUUCUCUUCUCCCAUCUGGAGCCAUCCCACCCUGCCUGGAUCACAGGAUGUCCGGUUUGAGGCAGUCACCCUCUUCCAAGUGACAGCCCUUCAAGUUCUGAAGCGGGAGUCGUGUUCCCCAGGGGGUUCAUCUCUUGAUAGCUACUCUGUGCCAGAUGGGGAAGCUGAGGCUAAGACGUGGUCCAAGGUUACACAGCAAGGAAAGGACAGCCUGGGGACACUGCCCAGCUUUCUGUAUUCUGCCGCUACACUCCGGCGCUAACCAGUUCCAGUUCCUUUCCCUGUGACUUCUAAUGACCGGUCAUAGAAGAAGACGUCCUUGUCGGGUCCGGAGAAAUUUCUGCCAUACUCCAUGUUGAUGACGAACAGCCCAUGCCUGGCCUGCCUUCCUG